RNAcentral lists this unclassified non-coding RNA (370 nucleotides) under Hevea brasiliensis (rubber tree). Lineage: Eukaryota; Viridiplantae; Streptophyta; Magnoliopsida; Malpighiales; Euphorbiaceae. The record is from RNAcentral.
UAGGAUUUCCAUGAUUCUGCAAGCAAUACAAAUGAAGAUCAGUAAUAUAAUCAAAUGCAACCUGAAUCUAGGUUUGGGAAGGUGGAAGAGAGGGAAAGAAGAUAGUCAUUUUCCACUCUUUCCUUAUUUGGGAAAGAUGAUAAAGUGGGGAAACAAACACUAUAACCUUCUCUCCAAAUUAGAAAGCGAGUGAAGGCAAAUUUUGUUGAAUUGUAUUUUCAUUCUACACAAAAUUUUUCUUUUUGAAAGUUGCAGGUUGAUGUCAUAAUCUUUCUAUUCAUAAACUUUUCUUUGUUAUUCCUUCCUCCCUUACCAAAGAAAAGGAGAGAGAAAACAAUUUUCUCUUCCUUACUUUUCCCUAUCUAUUUUG